Molecule: ribosomal RNA, 545 nt
Filed under: Chaetoceros curvisetus
Lineage: Eukaryota; Bacillariophyta; Thalassiosirophyceae; Chaetocerotales; Chaetocerotaceae
Description: partial Bacterial large subunit ribosomal RNA
Rfam family: Bacterial large subunit ribosomal RNA
Source: RNAcentral
GUUACGGGCGUAUGGUGGAUGCCUUGGCAGACAGGACCGAUGAAAGACGUUGCGGGCUGCGAUAAGCCUCGGGGAGCCGCCGAGCGGGCUUCGAUCCGAGGAUUUCUGAAUGGGGAGACCCGGCGGCCGUCAUGGGCCGUCACCGCCUUGUGCGGGGGGUACGCAGGGAAGUGAAACAUCUCAGUACCUGCAGGAGAGGAUAUUCCGUGAGUAGUGGCGAGCGAAAGCGGAUCAGGCCAAACCGGGCGCGUGCGAUAGCCGUCAGGCGUUGCGCGUCCGGUGUAGCGGGAGCGUGUGUCCGGCCUCUGACGGGGCCGGCGGAAGUGACAAAACGACGUGUGAGGCGAACAGGAUUGAAUGCCUGGCCGUAGCGGGUGAUGGCCCCGUAGCCGAACGCGCGUCGUCUUCCGAUCGCGUCUCCCAAGUAGCACGGGCCUCGUGGAAUCCCGUGCGAAUCCGUCCGGACCGUUGGAUAAGCCUAAAUAUUCCUGUCUGACCGAUAGUGAACGAGUACCGUGAGGGAAAGGUGAAAAGCACCCCGGGAG